CCUACGGGAGGCAGCAGUGGGGGAUAUUGCACAAUGGGGGGAACCCUGAUGCAGCGACGCCGCGUGGGUGAAGAAGCGCCUCGGCGCGUAAAGCCCUGUCAGCAGGGAAGAAAAUGACGGUACCUGAAGAAGAAGCCCCGGCUAACUACGUGCCAGCAGCCGCGGUAAUACGUAGGGGGCAAGCGUUAUCCGGAUUUACUGGGUGUAAAGGGAGCGCAGGCGGUUCUGCAAGUCUGAUGUGAAAGCCCGGGGCUCAACCGCGGGACUGCAUUGGAAACUGCGGGACUGGAGUGUCGGAGGGGUAAGCGGAAUUCCUGGUGUAGCGGUGAAAUGCGUAGAUAUCAGGAGGAACACCGGUGGCGAAGGCGGCUUACUGGACGAUGACUGACGCUGAGGCUCGAAAGCGUGGGGAGCAAACAGGAUUAGAUACCCUAGUAGUC
This 440-nucleotide ribosomal RNA is filed under the name uncultured bacterium. RNAcentral describes it as "partial 16S ribosomal RNA". It matches the Rfam family "Bacterial small subunit ribosomal RNA", at positions 338 to 795 of the family's 1533-position model. The record is from RNAcentral.